This is a long non-coding RNA of Lycium ferocissimum, 523 nucleotides long. RefSeq lists it as uncharacterized. The transcript has 2 exons. The record is from RefSeq and is a predicted model, not a curated record. NCBI's taxonomy places the organism in Eukaryota, Viridiplantae, Streptophyta, Magnoliopsida, Solanales, Solanaceae.
UCGUUGAUUUCGUGUUUAGUUGUGAUGUGCUGGGACUUUUGAACUUAAGUAGAUAUUUGAUUGUGUAUUUAAGGUAUAUAUGCUCUUGUACAAGCUAAGAGGAGUUAUUUGACGAAGUGGACUUUGGUUGGUCUAUGGCGUAGAUGAUUUGAACUCCUCGAGUUGUGGUAGAACUUGUUGUGUGGUAAAACGCCGAGGUAAUGUGCGAGAUGAAGUAUGAAGAUGGCCAUUUGGAGUAGACUUUUUGGGAGCCCUUGUAAAGAUCACAUCUGCAUAUGCAUCUAGUUUUUUGUAAAUUUUUGGGGACUUGUACAUGAUACAUGUGUGGCACUUAUGUAUGAAAUUUUGAAGGCUUGUGGAAAACAAGACCAUAUGCUUGUAACUUGAACUGGGUGACUAGUUUUGCUAUUUUAGGGUGUGUUUUUAACUCGAGUCAUGCCAUGUAAUGGGUUUGCAUUUUGUCUUGUAAUUAUGCACAAAGGAAGAGAAUAGUUUUGUGAUAAUUACUAGUUUGAGUUUUGUG